AGGUAGGGUGGCCGAGUAGGCGGCGAGUUGUAGCCUCGUGCACGGGUCAAGAGCCCCCCAACCAA
This 65-nucleotide transfer RNA is filed under the name Cyrtodactylus baluensis. RNAcentral describes it as "tRNA-Tyr". Lineage: Eukaryota; Metazoa; Chordata; Lepidosauria; Squamata; Gekkonidae. The record is from RNAcentral.